CCUCUGGGUCACCUCCCACCCGUGUCUAUCGUACCUUGUUGCUUCGGCGGGCCCGCCGUUUCGACGGCCGCCGGGGAGGCCUUGCGCCCCCGGGCCCGCGCCCGCCGAAGACCCCAACAUGAACGCUGUUCUGAAAGUAUGCAGUCUGAGUUGAUUAUCGUAAUCAGUUAAAACUUUCAACAACGGAUCUCUUGGUUCCGGCAUCGAUGAAGAACGCAGCGAAAUGCGAUAAGUAAUGUGAAUUGCAGAAUUCAGUGAAUCAUCGAGUCUUUGAACGCACAUUGCGCCCCCUGGUAUUCCGGGGGGCAUGCCUGUCCGAGCGUCAUUGCUGCCCUCAAGCACGGCUUGUGUGUUGGGCCCCCGUCCCCCUCUCCCGGGGGACGGGCCCGAAAGGCAGCGGCGGCACCGCGUCCGGUCCUCGAGCGUAUGGGGCUUUGUCACCUGCUCUGUAGGCCCGGCCGGCGCCAGCCGACACCCAACUUUAUUUUUCUAAGGUUGACCUCGGAUCAGGUAGGGAUACCCGCUGAACUUAAGCAUAUCAAUAAGCGGAGGAA
Molecule: ribosomal RNA, 554 nt
Filed under: Aspergillus fumigatus
Lineage: Eukaryota; Fungi; Ascomycota; Eurotiomycetes; Eurotiales; Aspergillaceae
Description: eukaryotic LSU rRNA
Rfam family: 5.8S ribosomal RNA (bases 172-325)
Source: RNAcentral